Molecule: ribosomal RNA, 331 nt
Filed under: uncultured bacterium
Lineage: Bacteria
Description: bacterial SSU rRNA
Rfam family: Bacterial small subunit ribosomal RNA
Source: RNAcentral
UGCGUAGGUGGCGAGGUAAGUCGGAUGUGAAAUCUCGGAGCUCAACUCCGAAACGGCAUUGGAAACUACCUUGCUCGAGGGUUGGAGGGGGACUGGAAUUCUCGGUGUAGCAGUGAAAUGCGUAGAUAUCGAGAGGAACACCGGUGGCGAAGGCGAGUCCCUGGACAACUCCUGACACUGAGGCACGAAAGCUAGGGGAGCAAACAGGAUUAGAUACCCUGGUAGUCCUAGCCGUAAACGGUGCAUGCUUGCUGUAAAAGGAAUCGACCCCUUUUGUGGCGGAGCCAACGCGUUAAGCAUGCCGCCUGGGAAGUACGGUCGCAAGAUUAAA